ACUUUGAAAAAAUUAGAGUGCUCAAAGCAGGCGCGACGCCUGAAUAAUGGUGCAUGGAAUAAUGGAAUAGGACCUCGGUUCUAUUUUGUUGGUUUUCGGAACACGAGGUAAUGAUUAAGAGGGACGGACGGGGGCAUUCGUAUUGCGACGCUAGAGGUGAAAUUCUUGGACCGCCGCACGACGAACUACUGCGAAAGCAUUUGCCAAGAAUGUUUCCAUUAAUCAAGAACGAAAGUUAGAGGCUCGAAGGCGAUCAGAUACCGCCCUAGUUCUAACCAUAAACGAUGCCAGCUAGCGAUCCGGCUGUGUUCCUCAAAUGACACGCCGGGCAGCUUCCGGGAAACCAAAGCUUUUGGGUUCCGGGGGGAGUAUGGUUGCAAAGCUUAAACUUAAAGGAAUUGACGGAAGCGCACACAAGGAUUGGGGCCUGCGGUUUAAUUUGACUCAACACGGUGCAACUCACUCGGCCCGGACACAGGAAGGAUUGACAGAUUAAGAGCUCUUUCUUGAUUCUGUGAUAGGUGGUGCAUGGCCGUUUCUGGUUGGUGGAGUGAUUUGUCUGCUUUAUUGCGAUAACGAGCGAGACUCUAACCUGCUAAAUAGACGUUACGAUCCUUGUGAGUCGUACGUUCUUCUUAGAGGGACAGGCGGUGUUCAGCCGCACGAAAAAGAGCAAAAACAGGUCAGGAUGCCCUCAGAUGUUCGGGGCCACACGCGCGCCACAUUGAAGGAAUCAGCGUGUGCUUUCCCUGUCCGACAGGACUGGGUAACCCGUUGAACCUCCUUCGUGAUGGGGAUAGGAAAUUGUAAUUAUUUUCCUUGAACGAGGAAUUCCCAGUAAGCAUGAGUCAUCAGCUCGUGUUGAUUACGUCCCUGCGCUUUGUCCACACCGCCCGUCGCUAUUAUCGAUGAAUUUUGGAGUAAGAUCUU
Molecule: ribosomal RNA, 930 nt
Filed under: Mesida gemmea
Lineage: Eukaryota; Metazoa; Arthropoda; Arachnida; Araneae; Tetragnathidae
Description: SSU rRNA
Rfam family: Eukaryotic small subunit ribosomal RNA
Source: RNAcentral